RNAcentral lists this transfer RNA (86 nucleotides) under Dorea sp. AF36-15AT. RNAcentral describes it as "tRNA-Leu". It matches the Rfam family "tRNA". Rfam says of the family: Transfer RNA (tRNA) molecules are approximately 80 nucleotides in length. Their secondary structure includes four short double-helical elements and three loops (D, anti-codon, and T loops). Lineage: Bacteria; Bacillati; Bacillota; Clostridia; Lachnospirales; Lachnospiraceae. RNAcentral also lists the same sequence under 1 other name. The record is from RNAcentral.
GCGGAGAUGGCGGAAUGGCAGACGCGCUAGAUUCAGGUUCUAGUGGUGGCAACACUGUGAGGGUUCAAGUCCCUUUCUCCGCACUA